UCAGUCCAAGCAAUGUCCCUCGCUGGAGAAACGGACUCUGCCUGAGGAUUUCUGUCUUGAACUGAUAAGGUUGUGGGAGGACACAAUGGGAUUUCUUCUUAGGCUCCCAGCAUCCAACAGUGCAGCAUCCAUGCGGACUUCCGUUGUCCUGCCAGAAUUCCAGGAAACUAGGCAGAAUGGAAAGUUCCAGGGCCUCCAUGUGCCCCUCCCACAAGUACCCUGUGGACUAACACUGUAUGCCUCUGCUCCGGCAUACACGAAGGUGUAAUUAAGUCUCUGGUGAUUACUAUUGAGAAUGAAUAGCACCGGAAGUGCAAAAUAAAGCCGUAUUCCUUGGUCUGAGGGAGAAGCAAGGAUCAGUGUCAGCAUUUUUUCCUCCCACAAUGGUGAAACAGGUAUGUCAGAGUUACCUUUUUUUUCCCCUUCUAUGUGAAUUUUGCGUGAGCAGAAAGACUUUCCAAUAUAAAGUCAUUUACUAAACUGAGAGGAAAAUUCUUAGAUAGAUGUCUAUGUUUUGCCUGGUGGCUGACAUGCAAGGAUUAUUUUGACAGAAAGUAAAUAGCAAGGCAGUAUGAGAGACUUGAGAAGAAAAAAAAAUGGUUCAGCUCAUGUGUUAUUUAGUGAACAGGCCCAAUCAAUUUAACUUCCACUGCCAGAGGAGGGAGUUAUGUGGCUGUAUUGGGCAAGGCUCACAAAUUAUAAUCAAGAAGUAAAUAAUAUUGAAACCUUACAAAUUGAAUUUUUAUUAAGAAAUUCAUCUCUGGUUACCUCAGGGUUUAUAAAAUUUUUUAGUACUUGUGGAAGAAGGCAGUAUAUCUCAAUGUACAAUACCAGAUUGAUUGGGGUGAGUAAUUUUAACUUUUUAGGGUCAGAAAUAUACCUCACCUUUUAAAACAGGCUUAAUGGGAAGGAAGCUGACAAAUGUGCUAUAAAAGACAGUCUAUGCCUUCUUACAUUGCCUUUUAUCCACAUUACCACUCCUGCUGUGGGUCCCAUGUACUUUACAAAUUGGGAUUAAUGGCUUUUUUUUUUGCAUGAGAGUUUCAAGGUCACAAUUUCAUAAAUCGUGCAAAUAAACAAAUCCUCUCUAUCAUCGACUCUGUGUACUUAACAUUUUUAUAUUUAUUACUUUCUGCAUUUAUAAGAUACUGGAACUGCUAUUAAUAAUUUGUAUUUCCUGUACAGGCAUAUAGCUUAGCUCGAAAAUGUGAGUGGAAACUUUAACACCACAUUUUUCAAGGAUGACCAAGUGGAGAUGUUUUCUGUUCAUGCACGGCUCAUUGCCAUAGUUUCUUCAGUUAAAGCAGAAAUAACAGCAACUGACCUUUGAGAGUAUUAUAUGAAAGGCAUUUUGCAUGUAGAUUGUUAUUUCAGAAAGCUAUAUAUAUCAAUAUAUUAUUGAUAGCAUGUUAUAGUGAGAAGAAUUCUAGGCCAAGUUUCAGGUCUUGCUAUGUUAUUAAUGGCAGUGUCAGAUGGGUUUUGAGUGACAAUGUACCCUUGCUCUCAAAGUCCAUGUCUCUCCAUGCCUAUCACCAUUUAAAAUAUUUAUUUGCUUUUGUUUUGUUGGUGUAUGUUUCGCCUGCAUGAACAUAUGUGCACCUUGUGCAUGCCCCUGGCAUCUGAGGGGGCCAGAAGAGGGUGUCAGAUCCCUUGGAACUGGAGUUACUGUGUGCUGCCACGUAGUUGUUAGGAACUCAAUGGUCCUGCCCUCAGUGGUCUUCACUGCAGAGCCAUCCCUAUAGCCUCGACAACCGUUUUCUCAAGAGUGUUAUCCUGCUUUAGUUUUGCCCCAUGGUGUCUGACACACGGGGGAUAUGAUGAGAGGAACUUAAGGAGGGUUAUUUCAGCUCACAGUUCAAGGGUAUAGGCUAGCAUGUUGGGGAAGUCCCAGCAGCAGAGACUGAGGUAGCUCUUCACAUUGCAGAAAAGCAGCAAAGCGGAAGGGGCAGACACAUGCAUGCUAGUGCUCAGUCACUUCUGCUUUCUCAGGUGUAAGACCCACAGUGGAUCUUCCUGCAACACAACAUAAUCUAGACACCCGUCCCACCCAUGCUCAAGGUCCCUUCUCCCAGGCGACGCCAGAUUCUGUCAAGUUGACAAUUAACUCCAACCUUCACUCUUUUUGAUAGAAAGAAAACAUCCACUUCCCAUUUGAUUGACCACAGCAGUUCAUAUAGAUCUACUUCUUUUGCCUGGGCAGUUAAGUGCAGUAUUCUCCCAUUCCAGGAAGCAGGGUACACCAUCAACAAACGGCAUGGUCACAAAAGCUUUCAGAAAAAAUGUAAAAUAAAUAAAACUGCUUUUCCUUUCCAGGCCUUUCUCCAAGAAUAAGACUCUGAGACUAAUUAUUUAUUAAUAAAUGUCUUUGCU
RNAcentral lists this long non-coding RNA (2370 nucleotides) under Mus musculus (house mouse). Its description in RNAcentral is "RIKEN cDNA D030045P18 gene". Lineage: Eukaryota; Metazoa; Chordata; Mammalia; Rodentia; Muridae. The record is from RNAcentral.